Long non-coding RNA from Lutra lutra (Eurasian river otter), 171 nucleotides. RefSeq lists it as uncharacterized. Lineage: Eukaryota; Metazoa; Chordata; Mammalia; Carnivora; Mustelidae. The record is from RefSeq and is a predicted model, not a curated record. The transcript has 2 exons.
AAAGCAUCACAUAGCAUCUCCUCAGAGAGGCAAGGCUGCUGAGGCUAGCUAUCCUCUAGUGCCCCUCCGAAACCCAAGGAAGACUGGGGAAUCAGAGCCAUCUCCAUCCGCUGACAGCCUUUGCACUACCUUUUUACUACUUUGGGAAUAAAUCAAAGCAUAAGCAAUCUU